AAGAUGUUAGUAUAAUAAUUACCUAGCCUUGUCGUGGCUAAAUUACUAGUUUGACCCUUGUACAUCUUA
Molecule: transfer RNA, 69 nt
Filed under: Batrachoseps attenuatus (California slender salamander)
Lineage: Eukaryota; Metazoa; Chordata; Amphibia; Caudata; Plethodontidae
Description: tRNA-Asp
Source: RNAcentral